GGGCUGGGCUUGGCCACAGCAAGUGCCCAAGAAAUGCCAGCUCACUAGCAGUGGAAGGUGCUUAAUGUUAAAUUCUCACUUCAAACCCUUUUGAUUAGAAUACUGGUUCUUCGUUGGCAUGGCAGUUUUAGAGGAGGAAACUUGUAUUGCCCACUUCCCUAAGCUGGUAGUUGGAGACAGUUGAGGGUAAAGGAUCUUUGGGCUGCAAGACUGAUCAUUAAGUCUUACUUUGGAGUUUCCUUUUCUGCCCUUGAAGGAUUGCAGAUUUCCAGGAUGUCCUGAAGGAGCCCUCCAUUGUGUUGGAAAAGCUUCGAGAACUCAGUUUUAGUGGCAUCCCCUGUGAGGGCGGACUGCGGUGCCUCUGCUGGAAGAUCCUCCUGAACUACCUCCCUUUGGAGAGAGACUCGUGGGAUUCCAUCCUGGCCAAGCAGAGGGGGCUUUAUUCACAGUUCCUGAGAGAGAUGAUUAUUCAGCCUGGCAUUGCGAAGGCCAACAUGGGUGUGUCCAGAGAGGACGUGACCUUUGAGGACCAUCCCCUGAACCCAAACCCUGACAGCAGGUGGAACACGUAUUUUAAGGACAA
RNAcentral lists this long non-coding RNA (583 nucleotides) under Rattus norvegicus (Norway rat). Its description in RNAcentral is "long non-coding RNA NONRATT017998". The record is from RNAcentral. Lineage: Eukaryota; Metazoa; Chordata; Mammalia; Rodentia; Muridae.